RNAcentral lists this ribosomal RNA (319 nucleotides) under Acinetobacter baumannii. Its description in RNAcentral is "bacterial LSU rRNA". It matches the Rfam family "Bacterial large subunit ribosomal RNA", at positions 2629 to 2925 of the family's 2925-position model. Lineage: Bacteria; Pseudomonadati; Pseudomonadota; Gammaproteobacteria; Moraxellales; Moraxellaceae. The record is from RNAcentral.
GUUCGGUCCCUAUCUACCGUGGGCGCUGGAAAUUUGAGAGGAUCUGCUCCUAGUACGAGAGGACCAGAGUGGACGAACCUCUGGUGUACCGGUUGUGACGCCAGUCGCAUCGCCGGGUAGCUAUGUUCGGAAGGGAUAACCGCUGAAAGCAUCUAAGCGGGAAGCCUACCUCAAGAUAAGAUUUCCCUAGGAAUUUAUUCCUCUAAAGAGCCGUUCGAGACUAGGACGUUGAUAGGUUGGAUGUGGAAGCAUAGUGAUAUGUGAAGCUGACCAAUACUAAUUGCUCGUGAGGCUUGACUAUACAACACCCAAGCAGUUG